Long non-coding RNA from Sander lucioperca (pikeperch), 823 nucleotides. RefSeq lists it as uncharacterized. The transcript is spliced from 3 exons. The record is from RefSeq and is a predicted model, not a curated record. NCBI's taxonomy places the organism in Eukaryota, Metazoa, Chordata, Actinopteri, Perciformes, Percidae.
UACCUUAGCAUACAUUAGACAUUAGCAUGGGCUAGACAGAUACAGACAACUAAAACAACAAUACAGACAGUGCUAACAAGACUUGGACAAUACAUGAACAAUCAAUGAGUGCAAGUGUAACUGUUGAGAAGGAACAGUUUGUAUGCCUUUUUGAAAUAUGUGAUGGAUGACAGUGAUCUGAUGUGAUGGGGAAUGUCAUUCCAGAUGUUGGUGUAUGUAUGAAAAAAGGAUUUCUGACCAUAGUUGUUUUUGUAUGGGGGGGGGAACUGGAAUGAGUGUCUGUGAGACUGACCCAGUGAGGCGUACUGGUCUCAUAUUGUGUGUUGGGAGAAGUGUUUUGAAUCUGUAAAUAAAAUGUAAUAGCGUGGCUGUUUAUGUAGUUCUAGUAAGUCAGAGCGUUUGAGCGUGUGAGUGCAAUGCAACGGUGAGACCACUUUGGAAGAUUCUUGACUUUUGGAAACAGUAGUUGGCAAAUGUAACCAACGUCACCAACAUUUAGUAGCUGUUCUGGGCGUUUUUGUUUCCAUCACUUGAUUUCCUCCAGCAGAAUCUCUACUUAACCCUCGUGAUGUCUUCCAUUCGACCAUGCACUUGUUGUUCUCCUGAGUCAAAAAUCAACACGUUUUUGUCUAUUUUUUACGACACUUUAACACAGGGUUGUGUCUCUCCAAAAGUUGAGUCGGUCUCAAAAUUUUCCCCCCAGGCCCGCUGUGUUUUUUUCUGUCUCCCCCCCUGCAGCAACCCACUACCCCCCAUUCAAUAUGUAUGGAAAGACCUGCAUUUGUUGUGAAUGCAGACUUACUCUUAAAUGAAGGUGUCUUUA